CCUACGGGACGCAGCAGUGAGGAAUAUUGGUCAAUGGCCGGAAGGCUGAACCAGCCAAGCCGCGUGAAGGACGACGGUGCCAAGCAUUGUAAACUUCUUUUGUCAAGGGACAAAAUCAGGCUCGAGAGCCUGACCGAGGGUACUUGAAGAAAAAGCAUCGGCUAACUCCGUGCCAGCAGCCGCGGUAAUACGGAGGAUGCGAGCGUUAUCCGGAUUCAUUGGGUUUAAAGGGUGCGCAGGCGGGCCUUUAGGCCAGCGGUGAAAUUGCGGGGCUCAACCCCGCCGAGCCG
This 290-nucleotide ribosomal RNA is filed under the name uncultured bacterium. RNAcentral's name for it is "partial 16S ribosomal RNA". It matches the Rfam family "Bacterial small subunit ribosomal RNA", at positions 338 to 626 of the family's 1533-position model. The record is from RNAcentral.